AUUGAAUCUAACAUGUGACAGAUGAACGGAUUUGAUGAGUUAUCCUUGAUCUAUAUUUUGUCAGGACUCAUGAUAGAAGAACCGAACUAUACGAUAACUACACCUAGAGUUCAAUAUUCUAUUCUACUGGAUUGCCACUACAUACUGCUAGAUGUCACUGAUGGAUUGUGAGACUUGUCGAGCAUCGUCUUGAUGAUCGAUGACCCUUGAUGGGCAG
RNAcentral lists this long non-coding RNA (217 nucleotides) under Elaeis guineensis (African oil palm). RNAcentral describes it as "long non-coding RNA (EGUI_LNC053088)". The record is from RNAcentral. Lineage: Eukaryota; Viridiplantae; Streptophyta; Magnoliopsida; Arecales; Arecaceae.